AUGCCAAAAAACCACACACCCCGUUUUUACCAAAUCCACCCCAAACGAGGCAGGGGCCCCAGAGAAAGCACAGCAGGGCCAACAAAUGCCUUUUUUUUACCCAAUUUUCUCAUUUUCCCCCCGUUUUUCCCUAUUUCCCCCUCAUUUCUUCCAUUUUCCCUCAUUUUUCCUCAAUCUUUACCUCAUUUUUCCCUAUUUUCCUCAUUUUUCCUUUGUUUCUCUCAUUUUUCCUCCUUUAUUUUCUUAUUUUCCUCAAUUUUCCCUCACGUUUUUCUCUUUUCCCCUCAUUUUUUGCCUCAUGUUUACCUCAUUUUCCCUCUUUUCUCCUUAUUUUUUCCUCCUUUUCUCAUUUCUUCCUCAUUUUUCCCUAUUUUUUUCCUCACAUUUCCCUGUUUUCCCCUCCUUUUCCCCUCUUUUCCUCAUUUUUCCCUAUUUUCCCCUCUUUUUUCCCUCCUUUCCUCAUUUUUCCUCCUUUUUCCCUAUUGUCCCCUCACAUUUCCCUCAUUUUUUUCUAUUUUCCCCUCAUUUUUCCUUCAUUUUUCCCUCAUUUUUCUCUAUUUUCCCCUCCUUUCCUCAUUCUUCCCUCACAUUUCUCUCAUUUUUCCCUAUUUUCCCCUCCUUUUCCCCUCUUUUCCUCAUUUUUCCCUCACUUUUCUCUAUUUUCCCUAUCAUUUUUCCCUAUUUUCCUCUCCUUUUCCCCUCCUUUCCUCAUUUUUUCCUCAUUUUUCCUUAUUUUUUCCCUCACAUUUCCCUAUUUUCCCUUCCUUUUUCCCUCCUUUCCUCAUUUUUCCCUCACAUUUCCCUCAUUUUUCUCUAUUUUCCCCUCCUUUCCUCAUUUUUUCCCUCGUUUCCCUCAUUUUUUUUCUAUUUUCCCCUCAUUUUUCCCUCCUUUUUUUCCCAUUUUCACCAAAUCCCCCCCAAAAACGAGGCAGGGCCCCCGAGAAGCGAGGCAGGGCCGGCGACCGCUCACUUUUCACUUUUUUUCCUCAUUUUUAUUGGUAG
RNAcentral lists this long non-coding RNA (1002 nucleotides) under Anas zonorhyncha (Eastern spot-billed duck). Its description in RNAcentral is "lncRNA (ENSAZOG00000004586.1)". Lineage: Eukaryota; Metazoa; Chordata; Aves; Anseriformes; Anatidae. The record is from RNAcentral.